UACAGAGGUCUCAAGCGUUGUUCGGAUUCAUUGGGCGUAAAGGGUGCGUAGGUGGCGCUGUAAGUCGGGUGUGAAAUUUCGGAGCUUAACUCCGAAACUGCAUUCGAUACUGCCGUGCUUGAGGACUGGAGAGGAGACUGGAAUUCAUGGUGUAGCAGUGAAAUGCGUAGAGAUCAUGAGGAAGACCAGUGGCGAAGGCGGGUCUCUGGACAGUUCCUGACACUGAGACACGAAGGCCAGGGGAGCAAACGGG
Molecule: ribosomal RNA, 253 nt
Filed under: uncultured bacterium
Lineage: Bacteria
Description: partial 16S ribosomal RNA
Rfam family: Bacterial small subunit ribosomal RNA
Source: RNAcentral